GUGAUAAUGGUGAAAACAAUGGUGAAAGUCUAAAUCUACUUUUGCUAUUUUGAGGGGAUACAUACCUUUCUUGCACUUUGAAGCUUUUUGAGGGGAAUGAGAUGCUCUAUAUUUUCUUUUUCUUUUCUCUCAGGUGGGUAUCUUGUACCCCUAAUUCUACUGUCGGACACUUGUCCAUUUUUACCUCUCGUCUUACUUUUUCUUUUCUUCGAGGUUCCGGGCACUUGCCCCUUUUUAUUUCCUCGUAUUCACUUUUUUAGAGCACUCACCCUCCUAGAAUAAUGUAGCAAGUGGUAGUAACCAAAAUAUCUCGAGCAUUUAUUUCACAGGGAAUAACAGGGAUAGGAAAAAGUUUUUGGCUAUUCUCUCUUGGAUAGGAGUAGAAUAAUUUCAGGUGAAUCUGGAGAUGGAAAUGAGUGGAUGUAUGUGGAUGCGUACUUCCAGAGUAGAAGCAGUAUGUAUGUGUGAACGUGCAAGUGAAUCUUGAUUUUAACCGCAUG
This 500-nucleotide long non-coding RNA is filed under the name Sorghum bicolor (sorghum). RNAcentral's name for it is "long non-coding RNA (SBIC_LNC008673)". Lineage: Eukaryota; Viridiplantae; Streptophyta; Magnoliopsida; Poales; Poaceae. The record is from RNAcentral.